This 274-nucleotide ribosomal RNA is filed under the name uncultured bacterium. Its description in RNAcentral is "partial 16S ribosomal RNA". It matches the Rfam family "Bacterial small subunit ribosomal RNA", at positions 523 to 796 of the family's 1533-position model. The record is from RNAcentral.
AUACGGAGGGGACUAGCGUUGUUCGGAAUUACUGGGCGUAAAGAGUACGUAGGCGGUCUAUCAAGUUGGGUGUGAAAGCCCGGGGCUCAACCCCGGAACUGCACUCAAAACUGAUAAACUAGAGAUCGGAAGAGGUAAGUGGAAUUCCCAGUGUAGAGGUGAAAUUCGUAGAUAUUGGGAAGAACACCAGUGGCGAAGGCGACUUACUGGUCCGAGACUGACGCUGAGGUACGAAAGCGUGGGGAGCAAACAGGAUUAGAAACCCUAGUAGUCC